This is a small nuclear RNA of Bombyx mandarina (wild silkworm), 154 nucleotides long. NCBI's taxonomy places the organism in Eukaryota, Metazoa, Arthropoda, Insecta, Lepidoptera, Bombycidae. The record is from RefSeq and is a predicted model, not a curated record.
AUACUUACCCGGCGUCGGAAUACCGUGAUCAUGCAGGCGGUGCCCCCGGGAUGCGGCUGCUCCAUUGCACUGCGGAGUGGUCAAUUGACCCUUGCGAUUAUUUUUAUAUUUUAUAAGUUUCACUUCUACCGUGUGUGACUUGCACACACACACA